AAAACGGAGGAAAAGAAACCAACAGGGAUUGCCUCAGUAACGGCGAGUGAAGCGGCAAAAGCUCAAAUUUGAAAUCCCCCCGGGGAGUUGUAAUUUGAAGAUUGCGUCUUGGAGGCGACCGUGUCUAUGUUCCUUGGAACAGGACGUCACAGAGGGUGAGAAUCCCGUGCGGCACGGCCCCCGGCUCCUUAUAAGGCGCUCUCGACGAGUCGAGUUGUUUGGGAAUGCAGCUCAAAGUGGGUGGUAAAUUCCAUCUAAAGCUAAAUACAGGCGAGAGACCGAUAGCGAACAAGUACAGUGAUGGAAAGAUGAAAAGCACUUUGAAAAGAGAGUGAAACAGCACGUGAAAUUGUUGAAAGGGAAGGGCAUGCCGUCAGAUUGUCAGUGUGGGUAAGAAGCGGGGUACAAAGACUGUGGAACGUGGCCCUCGGGUGUUAUAGCCGCAGUUCAUGCCCCGUCUCUUUCCGAGGCCUGCUUUGAGGACACCGACGUAAUGACGGUACGCCGCCCGUCUUGAAAC
This 520-nucleotide ribosomal RNA is filed under the name Kodamaea ohmeri. Its description in RNAcentral is "eukaryotic LSU rRNA". It matches the Rfam family "Eukaryotic large subunit ribosomal RNA", at positions 47 to 660 of the family's 3401-position model. The record is from RNAcentral. Lineage: Eukaryota; Fungi; Ascomycota; Pichiomycetes; Serinales; Debaryomycetaceae.